GUGUGUGUGUGUGUGUGCGUGUGUGUGUGUGCGUGUGUUCUGCAGGAGGAUGUUGCGCACUUCACUUUUCCUCAGCAGAGGAAGAGUACAUGCAUCUGGAAUACAAACAAAAAUGGCGUCAGUCUGUUCGUUUAUCUGACUGCUUCAGAGGGGAAUGAAGCUGGGACACUUGCAUCCUCAGAGAGAGCCAUUCAUAUUCACUGCACACAGGUAACUACAGAAACACAUCCAAUAAAACACUGACACCUAAAACAUAUUUUAGCAUUAAUGUAAAUGUAGGUGCAUUUAGAAGCUCUGUUUCCUAAUCCAUCCCUAAACAAAGGAGGUUGUGGGUCAGUGGUUAGUGCGCUGAUCUUCGGAUCACAGGGGCACUGGGUCGAAUCCCACUGCAGUCAACAUUCCGCUGUGUCCUUGGACAAGACACUUCACCCC
This is a long non-coding RNA of Trematomus bernacchii (emerald rockcod), 432 nucleotides long. RefSeq lists it as uncharacterized. NCBI's taxonomy places the organism in Eukaryota, Metazoa, Chordata, Actinopteri, Perciformes, Nototheniidae. The transcript has 3 exons. The record is from RefSeq and is a predicted model, not a curated record.